UUUGCCUACGGGGGGCAGCAGUGGGGAAUAUUGCACAAUGGGGGAAACCCUGAUGCAGCAACGCCGCGUGAAGGAAGACGGUUUUCGGAUUGUAAACUUCUGUUCUUAGUGAAGAAAAAUGACGGUAGCUAAGGAGCAAGCCACGGCUAACUACGUGCCAGCAGCCGCGGUAAUACGUAGGUGGCAAGAGUUGUCCGGAAUUACUGGGUGUAAAGGGAGCGCAGGCGGGAAGCCAAGUCAGCUGUGAAAACUACGGGCUUAACAUGUAGAAUGCAGUGGAAACUGGUUUUCUUGAGUGGAGUAAG
RNAcentral lists this ribosomal RNA (305 nucleotides) under uncultured bacterium. RNAcentral describes it as "bacterial SSU rRNA". It matches the Rfam family "Bacterial small subunit ribosomal RNA", at positions 334 to 655 of the family's 1533-position model. The record is from RNAcentral.